This 1489-nucleotide ribosomal RNA is filed under the name Lactiplantibacillus argentoratensis. Its description in RNAcentral is "bacterial SSU rRNA". It matches the Rfam family "Bacterial small subunit ribosomal RNA". The record is from RNAcentral. Lineage: Bacteria; Bacillati; Bacillota; Bacilli; Lactobacillales; Lactobacillaceae.
GACGAACGCUGGCGGCGUGCCUAAUACAUGCAAGUCGAACGAACUCUGGUAUUGAUUGGUGCUUGCAUCAUGAUUUACAUUUGAGUGAGUGGCGAACUGGUGAGUAACACGUGGGAAACCUGCCCAGAAGCGGGGGAUAACACCUGGAAACAGAUGCUAAUACCGCAUAACAACUUGGACCGCAUGGUCCGAGCUUGAAAGAUGGCUUCGGCUAUCACUAUUGGAUGGUCCCGCGGCGUAUUAGCUAGAUGGUGGGGUAAUGGCUCACCAUGGCAAUGAUACGUAGCCGACCUGAGAGGGUAAUCGGCCACAUUGGGACUGAGACACGGCCCAAACUCCUACGGGAGGCAGCAGUAGGGAAUCUUCCACAAUGGACGAAAGUCUGAUGGAGCAACGCCGCGUGAGUGAAGAAGGGUUUCGGCUCGUAAAACUCUGUUGUUAAAGAAGAACAUAUCUGAGAGUAACUGUUCAGGUAUUGACGGUAUUUAACCAGAAAGCCACGGCUAACUACGUGCCAGCAGCCGCGGUAAUACGUAGGUGGCAAGCGUUGUCCGGAUUUAUUGGGCGUAAAGCGAGCGCAGGCGGUUUUUUAAGUCUGAUGUGAAAGCCUUCGGCUCAACCGAAGAAGUGCAUCGGAAACUGGGAAACUUGAGUGCAGAAGAGGACAGUGGAACUCCAUGUGUAGCGGUGAAAUGCGUAGAUAUAUGGAAGAACACCAGUGGCGAAGGCGGCUGUCUGGUCUGUAACUGACGCUGAGGCUCGAAAGUAUGGGUAGCAAACAGGAUUAGAUACCCUGGUAGUCCAUACCGUAAACGAUGAAUGCUAAGUGUUGGAGGGUUUCCGCCCUUCAGUGCUGCAGCUAACGCAUUAAGCAUUCCGCCUGGGGAGUACGGCCGCAAGGCUGAGACUCAAAGGAAUUGACGGGGGCCCGCACAAGCGGUGGAGCAUGUGGUUUAAUCCGAAGCUACGCGAAGAACCUUACCAGGUCUUGACAUACUAUGCAAAUCUAAGAGAUUAGACGUUCCCUUCGGGGACAUGGAUACAGGUGGUGCAUGGUUGUCGUCAGCUCGUGUCGUGAGAUGUUGGGUUAAGUCCCGCAACGAGCGCAACCCUUAUUAUCAGUUGCCAGCAUUAAGUUGGGCACUCUGGUGAGACUGCCGGUGACAAACCGGAGGAAGGUGGGGAUGACGUCAAAUCAUCAUGCCCCUUAUGACCUGGGCUACACACGUGCUACAAUGGAUGGUACAACGAGUUGCGAACUCGCGAGAGUAAGCUAAUCUCUUAAAGCCAUUCUCAGUUCGGAUUGUAGGCUGCAACUCGCCUACAUGAAGUCGGAAUCGCUAGUAAUCGCGGAUCAGCAUGCCGCGGUGAAUACGUUCCCGGGCCUUGUACACACCGCCCGUCACACCAUGAGAGUUUGUAACACCCAAAGUCGGUGGGGUAACCUUUUAGGAACCAGCCGCCUAAGGUGGGACAGAUGAUUAGGGUG